Molecule: ribosomal RNA, 221 nt
Filed under: uncultured bacterium
Lineage: Bacteria
Description: partial 16S ribosomal RNA
Rfam family: Bacterial small subunit ribosomal RNA
Source: RNAcentral
GGUAAUGUCUGGGAAACUGCCUGAUGGAGGGGGAUAACUACUGGAAACGGUAGCUAAUACCGCAUAACGUCGCAAGACCAAGAGGGGGACCUUCGGGCCUCUUGCCAUCGGAUGUGCCCAGAUGGGAUUAGCUAGUAGGUGGGGUAACGGCUCACCUAGGCGACGAUCCCUAGCUGGUCUGAGAGGAUGACCAGCCACACUGGAACUGAGACACGGUCCAG